This is a non-coding RNA of Cebus imitator (Panamanian white-faced capuchin), 470 nucleotides long. Lineage: Eukaryota; Metazoa; Chordata; Mammalia; Primates; Cebidae. The record is from the annotation of a RefSeq genome assembly.
GGAUAAGAGAGACCUGCAGUCUGGCUGCCUCAGCAGCGCUCUGGGGAGUCUGCACCAUGGCCUGGACCACACUCCUCCUCCUCCUCACUCUCCUCCUUCACUGCACAGGGUCUCUCUCCCAGCCUGUGCUGACUCAAUCACCCUCUGCCUCUGCUGCCCUGGGAGCCUCAGUCAAGCUCACCUGCACUCUGAGCAGUGGGCACAGUAGCUAUGCCAUCGCAUGGCAUCAGCAGCAGCCAGGGAAGGCCCCUCGGUAUGUGAUGACGCUUACAGGUAGUGGAAGCUACAACAAAGGGGAUGGAAUCCCUGAUCGCUUCUCAGGCUCCAGCUCUGGGGCUGACCGCUACCUCACAAUCUCCAACCUCCAGUCUGAGGAUGAGGCUGAUUAUUACUGUCAGACCUGGAGUAGUGGCAUUCACACAGUGACACAGGCAGAUGAGGAAGUGGGACAAAAACCUCAGCCUGCUUAG